RNAcentral lists this ribosomal RNA (95 nucleotides) under Caldifarciminota bacterium. Its description in RNAcentral is "partial 16S ribosomal RNA". It matches the Rfam family "Bacterial small subunit ribosomal RNA", at positions 1 to 96 of the family's 1533-position model. Lineage: Bacteria; Pseudomonadati; Caldifarciminota. The record is from RNAcentral. RNAcentral also lists the same sequence under 1 other name.
CAUAUGGAGGGUUUGAUCCUGGCUCAGGGCUAACGCUGGCGGCGUGUCUUAGCCAUGCAAGUCGAGCGGACUUAUGGGGUAACUUAUAAGUCAGC